This is a long non-coding RNA of Lynx canadensis (Canada lynx), 123 nucleotides long. RefSeq lists it as uncharacterized. Lineage: Eukaryota; Metazoa; Chordata; Mammalia; Carnivora; Felidae. The record is from RefSeq and is a predicted model, not a curated record. The transcript has 4 exons.
AGGGGCGCCUGGGUGGCUCAGCAUGGUAGAGCCUGAGACUCUUGAGCUCGGGUUGUGAGUUCGGGCCCCAUGUUGGGCAUGGAGAUUACUUAAAAACAACAAAACGAAAUAUUAAAAAAAAUU